This 573-nucleotide ribosomal RNA is filed under the name Triticum aestivum (bread wheat). RNAcentral's name for it is "partial small subunit ribosomal RNA". Lineage: Eukaryota; Viridiplantae; Streptophyta; Magnoliopsida; Poales; Poaceae. The record is from RNAcentral.
AUGAACUUCUUUGAAGGGGUCAAAGCAAAGAAACAUCCACCUCCGGAGGAGAAGGUAGAUUCGGUGAAAGCAAAGCGCACUCUGGCUGCCCUGACAAAACCACCAAAGUCUCUGCCAAAAGGCAACUAUGAGCGCGUUCUUGCAAAGGCAUAUGCCGAAGCGGAGCGGUCGGGAAGUACUGUCAGUGAUAAAUGGAUGAAAGAACGACGAGCUGGGAAAAAAAUUGCCCAGCUCGGCGAACAAGAGAACCAAUCGUGCCCCCCGCUCAAGGUGUCAAAAGACAUCGUCGCUAAUGAUCCGGGUAUGGUGCCCGGUUAUACUGAUCUUGGAGAUUACCUGCCCGACGAUGUACAUUAUGAAAUCAUGGAGGUGGACGAACACAAAUACCAUUACGGGAAGCCUCUCGUCAAAGAUGUCAAAUCUCUAAGCACGAUGAUGCGAAGACUACAUGAUUGGUACAUGAAGACCUGCAGAGAGUCUGAUGGGAUGAGUACUUUAACGCUGAGAGUUAAACCGGAGCAUGACCUCGUUGGAAUUGAACUGCUGAAUGUUCCAUUUGAGGAUUUCUUCUAG